AUGGUGAGGAGCAUUUCCUGUGCCCCCCACAUAUAUUGCCCAGCCCCAUUCAAACAGACAACAGCAGAAACUCUUAUCCCCCUUUUGGUACUUGGUAGAGAGAUGGAGCAUCCUGUUGUUAGCGCUAGUGGGGGAGCCAUUAACAUACUGUUAUGUAAGCUGGGUACGGUGCUCAUCCAAGAAGCACAGCUCCUUGGAGGCAUCCGAGGCGAGCUGCAGUACAUGAAGGAUGAGCUUGAGAGCAUGACAGCAUUCCUGCAGGACCUUGCUGAGGGGGGAAACCGCAGGAAGCAGGUUAAGAUUUGGAUGAAACAGGUGCGAGAGGUCGCGUAUGAUGUUGAGGAUUGCGUUGAUGAGUUUACAUAUCACCUUGGCAGCACCACGAGUGGUUCUGGCCUUGUCGGGCUCUUCCACAGAUGCAUCCGUUUCCUGCAAACUGUCAGGGUGCGGCGGCAGAUUGCGAAACAAAUCCAAGAACUGAAAGCGCGCGCUACAAGUAUCAGUGACCGAAACUCAAGGUAUGGUGGUAAUCAUCUCAUUUCUGGAGCAGAAGGAAACACACUUGCUGCACAACCAGCACCAUCUUAUAUUACUUCUCUGGAUAUUCGUACCCCCGCACUCUUCCCAGAGAUAACGGAACUUGUGGGCAUUGAAGCGCGUCAGAGUAAUAUUGUGAAUUGGUUGGUGGAUGAAAACGUACAGCAACUACUGGUGCUAUCUAUAUUCGGCUUUGGUGGUUUGGGAAAGACAACUCUUGCUAUGACGACAUAUCAGACAGCUAGUGCAAGUUUCCAGUGCCGAGCUUUUGUGACUGUAUCCCAGAAAUUUGAUGUGAAGAGUCUCAUAAGGGACAUUCUUCGUCAGAUUAUUCGACCAGUAAAUCAAAAUGGUCCAGCACCAGCAGUAGACCCACUCAAAGGCAUGGAAGAAUGGAACGUGGGACAGCUUGCAGAUAUGCUAAGGCAGCAUCUAGAAGAUAAGAGGUAUCUUAUUGUUCUCGAUGAUAUUUGGAGCAUGUCAGCUUGGGAAGGUAUUCGAUUUUGCUUGCCUAACUCACAUACUGGAAGCAGAAUAAUUGUUACCACAAGAAUGAAAACUGUAGCACAAGCCUGCUGCCUCCAUGAGUAUGACAGAAAUUACGAAAUUGAACCACUCAGUGGUAGUGAAUCUAGCGAGUUAUUUUUCAAGAGAAUAUUUGGUAACAGGGAAAAUUGCCCAGCUGCCUUCAAAAACAUUUCAGAGAGGAUCCUGGGAAAGUGUGGUGGUAUACCCUUGGCCAUAGUCAGCAUUGCAGGUCUUUUGGCUAGCACACCCUUGUAUAGUUAUGAUCGCUGGGAGAAGAUCUACAACUCUCUUGGCUUGGAGCUGGAAACCAAUCCCUGGCUUGAAAAACUAAAGAAAAUUCUUGAGCUUAGUUAUAAUGACCUUCCAUACCAUUUGAAAACUUGUUUCUUAUAUUUAAGCACCUACCCUGAGGAUUAUAAGAUCAGAAGGAAAAGUUUAUUGAGACGAUGGAUAGCAGAACGCUUUGUGACAGAGAAGCGUGGAUUAAGUGCCUUGGAGGUGUCUGAAAAAUAUUUCAAUGAAUUACUCAACAGGAGUAUGGUUCUUCCAAUUGAAAUGAGCUUUGAUGGGAAGGUCAAGACCUUUCGAGUUCAUGAUAUAAUGCUAGAGAUCAUUGUUUCAAAAUCAAUUGAAGAGAAUUUCGUCACUUUGGUAGGUCAACAGUCUACUUUAGCUCCUCAAGAGAAGAUUCGGCGGCUAUCCAUUCAUGGAGGAAGUAACCAAAACAUUGCCACAAGCAAAUUGUUAAGCCAUGUCCGAUCAUUGAGUAUAUUUGCUGAUGGAGAAAUGUUACAGUUUGCUUGGAUAAAACUUCUUAGAAUAUUAGACUUAGAAGGUUCUGGGUUUGCCAGGAAUGGAGAUAUCGGAAAUAUAUGUAAACUGUUUCAGUUGGAAUAUCUCAGUCUCCGGAAUACAUAUGUCACUGAACUUCCUGUGCAAAUAGGAAACCUCAAAAAGUUGGAGACACUUGAUGUCAGGGACACAGCCAUAAAGCAUUUGCCUCCACACAUUACCAAUCUGCCAAAUUUGUUAAACCUACUUGGAGGGAGAAGAGUUUAUAACUACAGUGGUUUGUCUCCCAUUUCCAAUUUUUGGGGAAUGCACAUCCCUAACAAGCUUGGCAAUUUGGAAAUGCUUACAACCCUUGCACAGAUAGAGAUCACAGGCUCUACUUCCUGUUACAUAUCUGAAUUGGGGAAGCUUUCACAGUUGAGGAAGCUAGGGGUAAUGAUGUUUGUUGAUGACAACAUAAACUGGAUGUCCUUGAUCACUGCCAUUGCAAAACUGAGCAGUUGCCUUCAGUCGCUGCUGAUUUGGCGACCAGGCGGAGUAAUGAAUUUCAGGAUUCUUGAUACACUAUCCAGGCCACCAAUGUUUCUAAAAAGCAUAAACUUCCGAGGUAAGUUGGGACGGCUACCAGAAUGGAUUGGUUUGCUGGCUAAUCUAACUGAGUUGACCCUUCGCGCCACUGAAUUGGAAUCUGAGGAGCACCUGAAAGUUAUCUCUCAGUUACCAAGCCUGCUCUACCUUAGGUUGCAUCACAGUGCAUACACCGGAAGAGCACUCACCUUCUCCGCGUCAGAGUUCCCAAGUCUCAAAGUGCUCACCAUUCAUCUUGCUGUAUACCAGGCAUUGAACCUGAGGUUUGAGGAAGGCACUGCACCUAAGCUCCAUAGGCUGGAACUAUCUUUCUUCGAAAAUGCUUCCAUCCGGCGGCCUUCAGGUAUCAAUUUUCUUGCAAAUCUUCAGGAGGUCUUGGUCCACGCCGAUCCAUGCCGUAAAUCGGAAGCUAUGGUGCACUAUUUGAGGAAUGAAGCUAGGAGGAAUCCCAACCAACCUACUGUCACUUUCAAGGCGAAACAAUGGAAGUCAGCACGGACAGGUCCAGCAAUAGAUUACAGAGGAAACAUCUGGUUUUGA
Molecule: ribosomal RNA, 2985 nt
Filed under: Triticum aestivum (bread wheat)
Lineage: Eukaryota; Viridiplantae; Streptophyta; Magnoliopsida; Poales; Poaceae
Description: partial small subunit ribosomal RNA
Source: RNAcentral